This 468-nucleotide ribosomal RNA is filed under the name uncultured soil bacterium. RNAcentral's name for it is "bacterial SSU rRNA". It matches the Rfam family "Bacterial small subunit ribosomal RNA", at positions 26 to 514 of the family's 1533-position model. The record is from RNAcentral.
AGGAUCAACGCUGGCGGCGUGCAUGAGACAUGCAAGUCAAACGGACGAUCAAAGCUUGCUUUGAUCGUUAGUGGCGGACGGCUGAGUAACGCGUGGGUGACCUGCCCCGAAGUGGGGAAUAACUGCCCGAAAGGGUGGCUAGUACCGCAUGUGGUGGUGCGUUCAUUCGCACCAGUAAAGCCGCAAGGCGCUUCGGGAGGGGCCUGCGUCCGAUUAGCUCGUUGGCGAGGUAACGGCUCACCAAGGCGACGAUCGGUAGGUGGUCUGAGAGGACGAUCACCCAGACUGGGACUGAGACACGGCCCAGACUCCUACGGGAGCAGCAGUCGGGAAUUUUGCGCAAUGGACGAAAGUCUGACGCAGCAACGCCGCGUGAGGGAUGAAGGCCGUUCGGUUGUAAACCUUCUUUUUCUCGAGGAAGAUAAUGACGGUACCUGAACGGAAUAAGCCACGGACUAACGUACGUAG